UCGAGAAUCUUUAGCAAUGGGCGCAAGCCUGACUAUGCGACGCCGCGUGAGGGAUGAAGGUUUUCGGAUCGUAAACCUCUUUCGAUGGGGAAGAAACUUCCAACGUUAAUAGCGUUGGAACUGACGGUACCUAGAGAAGAAGCCACGGCCAACUCCGUGCCAGCAGCCGCGGUAAUACGGAGGUGGCGAGCGUUACUCGGAUUUAUUGGGCGUAAAGGGCAGGUAGGUGGUCUUGUAAGUGAGAGGUGAAAUCCUCCAACUUAAUUGGAGAAUGGCCUUUCAAACUGUGAGGCUUGAGACUGGAAGAGGAGAAUGGAAUUCCCGGUGUAAGGGUGAAAUCUGCAGAUAUCGGGAGGAACACCAGUGGCGAAAGCGAUUCUCCAGCCCAGUUCUGACACUGAUCUGCGAAAGCUAGGGGAGCAAACAGG
RNAcentral lists this ribosomal RNA (428 nucleotides) under uncultured bacterium. Its description in RNAcentral is "bacterial SSU rRNA". It matches the Rfam family "Bacterial small subunit ribosomal RNA", at positions 355 to 776 of the family's 1533-position model. The record is from RNAcentral.